GAGUAGAAAACCCAGAGACGGCUACUUUCCAGGGUCCUGCAUCUGGGGUGCAAGUGAGGCACACGCAGAUGAGACUCCACCUGCCCUGGGCAGCUUUCCUGAGCCUUGAGAAACCAGCUCACCAUGAAUCCAAGGUGUCUGCUGUUCCUUGCCACCAUUUCAUGGAACCUGUUGUAUGUGUAUUUCCAGCUCUGAAAAGCCUGUUUUACUUCAUUCUCUUACCAAAGAGUUUGGUGACACAAAAUGAAAAGUUUGAUGGACAAUCUGGAAGAGUCCCACUAAGCAACACAAGAAAUACGCUCUCACAAAGACCUAUUCAUGUUUUCCAUGUUUCAAAUAUGACUGAACCUGACAUAUAUAAGAACGCAAAAGAUUCUUCAAAAUCAAACUGUGUCCGGAAUUGGUGGGUUCUUGGUCUCACUGACUUCAAGAAUGAAGCCACGGACCCUGGCGGUUGCUAGUAACACAAUAAUAAAGCUGCUUUAUUUUCCAGUGAAGAUGUAUGUGAUAGGGAGUGGAGGAAGAAAAAGGCCAGAAAAUUCCAUAGUUAGCAAAUAUACCUUUCUUACUUAAAAUUCUUUUUCCAAUGUGAGCCUUCUAAAGAGUUACUGAGAAAUUAGGUGAGCUCACCUCAUUUAAUGCAAUAGAUAUGUUUCUGAAAAAUAAGCAAUACAUAGGACAUUGGCCAAUUAAGAAUUCUGAUGAAGAAGAAUUUUCACAUCCGAAAGAGUAAAAAUGAAAAACGGUACAAAUGUAGUGGCUUUUAAAUUUCAAAACAAAUUAUUUUGAUAAGAUAAAUAUUCCUCUCAUAAAGUGAAAAUGGAAGAGACUGCUUGCUGGGUGUUCGUCAAAAUGGAGUUAGAUGGUCUGUCCCAGACUCCCCUGUUGUUAGUUCUGAGAACAGAAGUAAUGGUGCUUCUUCAGGACUGGCUCAUAGAAACCUGCCGUGUUCAGCCCCCACAAUCCUCUCCCUUCUGCUGGCUGGAAACAAAUGACAACGAAGCCUCACGUCUUGGAGAAACCACACUGCUGAGGAACUCAAGUCCUAGAAGAACCAUUUGAAGAGACCCAUCUCACUAAAGAAAAUCACACAAGCAAGAAGUAAACUUCAUUGUAUCUAUGUAUUUAAUUGUCAUAACAGUCUACCUUAACUGAUACAGCAAAAAUUCGCUCCUUUUCUGGA
This 1183-nucleotide long non-coding RNA is filed under the name Homo sapiens (human). Its description in RNAcentral is "LYPLAL1 antisense RNA 1". The record is from RNAcentral. Lineage: Eukaryota; Metazoa; Chordata; Mammalia; Primates; Hominidae.